RNAcentral lists this ribosomal RNA (253 nucleotides) under uncultured bacterium. RNAcentral's name for it is "partial 16S ribosomal RNA". It matches the Rfam family "Bacterial small subunit ribosomal RNA", at positions 524 to 776 of the family's 1533-position model. The record is from RNAcentral.
UACGGGGGGGGCAAGCGUUGUUCGGAAUUACUGGGCGUAAAGGGCUCGUAGGUGGCCAACUAAGUCGGACGUGAAAUCCCUCAGCUUAACUGGGGAACUGCGUCCGAUACUGGAUGGCUUGAGUUUGGGAGAGGGAUGCGGAAUUCCAGGUGUAGCGGUGAAAUGCGUAGAUAUCUGGAGGAACACCGGUGGCGAGGGCGGCAUCCUGGACCAACACUGACACUGGGGAGCGAAAGCGUGGGGAGCGAACAGG